This 493-nucleotide ribosomal RNA is filed under the name uncultured bacterium. Its description in RNAcentral is "bacterial SSU rRNA". It matches the Rfam family "Bacterial small subunit ribosomal RNA", at positions 903 to 1397 of the family's 1533-position model. The record is from RNAcentral.
AAAGGAAUUGACGGGGACCCGCACAAGCAGCGGAGCAUGUGGUUUAAUUCGAAGCAACGCGAAGAACCUUACCAGGCCUUGACAUCCCCUGACAGGAUUAGAGAUAAUUUUUUUCCUUCGGGAACAGGGAGACAGGUGGUGCAUGGUUGUCGUCAGCUCGUGUCGUGAGAUGUUGGGUUAAGUCCCGCAACGAGCGCAACCCCUGUUAAUAGUUGCCAGCAUUGAGUUGGGCACUCUAUUGAGACUGCCGUAGACAAUACGGAGGAAGGUGGGGACGACGUCAAAUCAUCAUGCCCCUUAUGGCCUGGGCUACACACGUGCUACAAUGGUUUGAACAAAGGGAAGCGAAACCGCGAGGCGAAGCCAAUCCCAUAAAACAAAUCCCAGUUCGGAUUGCAGGCUGAAACCCGCCUGUAUGAAGAUGGAGUUGCUAGUAAUCGCGGAUCAGAAUGCCGCGGUGAAUGCGUUCCCGGGUCUUGUACACACCGCCCGU